GACGAACGCUGGCGGCGUGCUUAACACAUGCAAGUCGAACGGAAAGGCCCUGCUUUUGUGGGGUGCUCGAGUGGCGAACGGGUGAGUAACACGUGAGUAACCUGCCCUUCACUUUGGGAUAACUUCAGGAAACUGGGGCUAAUACCGGAUAGGAGCUCCUGCUGCAUGGUGGGGGUUGGAAAGUUUCGGCGGUAGGGGAUGGACGCGCGGCUUAUCAGCUUGUUGGUGGGGUAGUUGCUGACCAAGGCUUUGACGGGUAGCCGGCCUGAGAGGGGGGCCGGCCACAAUGGGACUGAGAUACGGCCCAGAGUCCUACGGGAGGCAGCAGUGGGGAAUAUUACACAGUGGGCGGAAGCCUGAUGCAGCAACGCCGCGUGCGGGAUGACGGCCUUCGGGUUGUAAACCGCUUUCGCCUGUGACGAAGCGGGAGUGACGGUAAUGGGUAAAGAAGCACCGGCUAACUACGUG
This 468-nucleotide ribosomal RNA is filed under the name uncultured bacterium. Its description in RNAcentral is "partial 16S ribosomal RNA". It matches the Rfam family "Bacterial small subunit ribosomal RNA", at positions 28 to 507 of the family's 1533-position model. The record is from RNAcentral.